AUGCAGUCGAGCGGAUGAAGGGAGCUUGCUCCUGGAUUCAGCGGCGGACGGGUGAGUAAUGCCUAGGAAUCUGCCUGGUAGUGGGGGAUAACGUCCGGAAACGGGCGCUAAUACCGCAUACGUCCUGAGGGAGAAAGUGGGGGAUCUUCGGACCUCACGCUAUCAGAUGAGCCUAGGUCGGAUUAGCUAGUUGGUGGGGUAAAGGCCUACCAAGGCGACGAUCCGUAACUGGUCUGAGAGGAUGAUCAGUCACACUGGAACUGAGACACGGUCCAGACUCCUACGGGAGGCAGCAGUGGGGAAUAUUGGACAAUGGGCGAAAGCCUGAUCCAGCCAUGCCGCGUGUGUGAAGAAGGUCUUCGGAUUGUAAAGCACUUUAAGUUGGGAGGAAGGGCAGUAAGUUAAUACCUUGCUGUUUUGACGUUACCAACAGAAUAAGCACCGGCUAACUUCGUGCCAGCAGCCGCGGUAAUACGAAGGGUGCAAGCGUUAAUCGGAAUUACUGGGCGUAAAGCGCGCGUAGGUGGUUCAGCAAGUUGGAUGUGAAAUCCCCGGGCUCAACCUGGGAACUGCAUCCAAAACUACUGAGCUAGAGUACGGUAGAGGGUGGUGGAAUUUCCUGUGUAGCGGUGAAAUGCGUAGAUAUAGGAAGGAACACCAGUGGCGAAGGCGACCACCUGGACUGAUACUGACACUGAGGUGCGAAAGCGUGGGGAG
This 717-nucleotide ribosomal RNA is filed under the name Pseudomonas aeruginosa. RNAcentral's name for it is "bacterial SSU rRNA". It matches the Rfam family "Bacterial small subunit ribosomal RNA", at positions 55 to 768 of the family's 1533-position model. The record is from RNAcentral. Lineage: Bacteria; Pseudomonadati; Pseudomonadota; Gammaproteobacteria; Pseudomonadales; Pseudomonadaceae.